This 523-nucleotide ribosomal RNA is filed under the name uncultured bacterium. Its description in RNAcentral is "bacterial SSU rRNA". It matches the Rfam family "Bacterial small subunit ribosomal RNA", at positions 85 to 642 of the family's 1533-position model. The record is from RNAcentral.
GCGCCUUCGGGCGACGGGACGGGUUAGUAACGCGUGGGAACGUGCCCAGAUCUACGGAAUAGCCACUGGAAACGGUGAGUAAUACCGUAUACGCCCUUCGGGGGAAAGAUUUAUCGGAUUUGGAUCGGCCCGCGUUAGAUUAGGUAGUUGGUGGGGUAACGGCCUACCAAGCCUACGAUCUAUAGCUGGUUUUAGAGGAUGAUCAGCAACACUGGGACUGAGACACGGCCCAGACUCCUACGGGAGGCAGCAGUGGGGAAUCUUGGACAAUGGGGGCAACCCUGAUCCAGCCAUGCCGCGUGAGUGAAGAAGGCCCUAGGGUCGUAAAACUCUUUCGCCUGUGAUGAUAAUGACAGUAGCAGGUAAAGAAACCCCGGCUAACUCCGUGCCAGCAGCCGCGGUAAUACGGAGGGGGUUAGCGUUGUUCGGAAUUACUGGGCGUAAAGCGCACGUAGGCGGAUUAGAAAGUUAGAGGUGAAAUCCCGGGGCUCAACCCCGGAACUGCCUUUAAAACUACUAGUCU